This 826-nucleotide ribosomal RNA is filed under the name uncultured bacterium. Its description in RNAcentral is "bacterial SSU rRNA". It matches the Rfam family "Bacterial small subunit ribosomal RNA", at positions 638 to 1463 of the family's 1533-position model. The record is from RNAcentral.
UGACUNGAGUGCGGAAGGGGAGAGUGGAAUUCCAUGUGUAGCGGUGAAAUGCGUAGAUAUAUGGAGGAACNCCAGUGGCGAAAGCGGCUCUCUGGUCUGUCACUGACGCUGAGGCUCGAAAGCGUGGGUAGCGAACAGGAUUAGAUACCCUGGUAGUCCACGCCGUAAACGAUGAGUGCUAGGUGUUAGGCCCUUUCCGGGGCUUAGUGCCGGAGCUAACGCAAUAAGCACUCCGCCUGGGGAGUACGACCGCAAGGUUGAAACUCAAAGGAAUUGACGGGGGCCCGCACAAGCGGUGGAGCAUGUGGUUUAAUUCGAAGCAACGCGAAGAACCUUACCAGGUCUUGACAUCCCGAUGCUAUUCUUAGAGAUAGGAAGUUACUUCGGUACAUCGGAGACAGGUGGUGUAUGGUUGUCGUCAGCUCGUGUCGUGAGAUGUUGGGUUAAGUCCCGCAACGAGCGCAACCCUUAUUGUUAGUUGCCAUCAUUAAGUUGGGCACUCUAGCGAGACUGCCGGUAAUAAACCGGAGGAAGGUGGGGAUGACGUCAAAUCAUCAUGCCCCUUAUGACCUGGGCUACACACGUGCUACAAUGGUCGGUACAACGAGUUGCGAGCCGGUGACGGCAAGCUAAUCUCUGAAAGCCGAUCUCAGUUCGGAUUGGAGGCUGCAACUCGCCUCCAUGAAGUCGGAAUCGCUAGUAAUCGCGGAUCAGCACGCCGCGGUGAAUACGUUCCCGGGCCUUGUACACACCGCCCGUCACACCACGAGAGUUUGUAACACCCGAAGUCGGUGAGGUANCCUUUUAGGGGCCAGCCGCCUAAGGU